Long non-coding RNA from Zalophus californianus (California sea lion), 1684 nucleotides. RefSeq lists it as uncharacterized. The transcript has 4 exons. NCBI's taxonomy places the organism in Eukaryota, Metazoa, Chordata, Mammalia, Carnivora, Otariidae. The record is from RefSeq and is a predicted model, not a curated record.
GUGACUGAAAAUGAUGAAUUCAAGUGAACGAGUGAGAUAAGAUGGCAAAGAAAUUGAGGCACGCACAUAUUCCUUGAAAUGGCUUCUGAUUUGUGUUGGAACCGGGUGUCUGCUCCAUCGUGCGCCCAAUAAAUAGUAGCUGCGGUAAUAACGGUCUCGGCAUGCUAGCGAUGGGGAGCGAGAUGGUGCAGCUGCUGUGGAAAUGGUUUGGUCGUUUCUCAUGAAGUUCAGCAUCGACCCCAUGACCCAGUAAUUCCACACCGAUGUGCAUGCCCAUGAGAAACGAAAACAGAGCCACACUGAAACCUGCACCCAGAUGUCGACAGCAGUAUCAUUCGCAAUAAGCCCAAAGCAGAAACCACCCAAAUGUCCAACAGCAGAUGAAUGGAUUAAACGGAUGAUGGCAUAUACACACAAGGGACAAUCAUUCAGCCAUAAGAAGGAAGGAAUUCUGGUACCCGCUACAACGUGGCUCAAACAUCUCCAAUGGUCUGUAUCGUUACUACCCAAAGCAAGAUUUGUGGACCGGCAGCACUGGCAUCACCUGGGAACUUGUUAGAAAUGCAGAAUCUCAGGCUCCAUCCCAGACUACUGAGUCAGAAUCUGCAUUUUAACAACAUCCCUGGGGGCUCCGUGUGCACAUCGAAGUAGGAGGAGGUGUGGAAGUUUGGUUGACAUGAGACUGAGAAAUGAACCCAGCAUGUAUUCUUCCGUAACCGACUUCUCUGAAGAUGCCAUCUUUAUUUCCCAAGUUUUCCGUGUACUGCAGCCAAUCCCAUGCCCUUUCCACUCUGACACGGGCCUGGAAUUCCAGAAUGCUAGUUCCAGAUCAGGGCCCAGAGUCCAUUUCUUUGCCUGGGAAGAAGUUUGAGAAGCCUUCAGAACAUGCCAUGGGCAUUCAUUCACACUUGUUUGUCUUUGGCCCAUGCUUUCAAAGUCUAGCAGAAGCCGUGCAACUUGCCUGAAGCUAGAGACAUCAAAAGUAUCAAGGCCACACUGUACCCUCCUUCCUCCAGACUCUGAGAUCCCGUGUCCGUACAUAUGAUUGGGACACUAACCCUGUAAAUCUUUGCACUGUGGUGGCAACUGGUCUAUAAGUGUACUAAGAACUAACACCAUGGUUUUCUUAUUUAACUUGAACUUUGAAAUAAUUUUAGACUGACAGAAAAGUUGUCAAAAUAGUAAGAGGAGUGCUCCCUUAUGCCCCUCACCCAGCUUCUCCUAAUGCUAACAUCUUCCUUAACCAGGUACAUAAUGAUCAAACGUGGGAAAUGAGCUUCAGCACAAUAUUCUUAACGAAACUCCAGACCUUCUCAAGAGAGAUUUCCCCACUUUUCCCACGUGUGUUCUUUUCUCGUUUGAGGAUCCAAUCUGAGGUCCCGCCUCAGUGUAGUUGUCAAGUCUCCUUCCUCUACUCCAGGCUGGGAAACGUUCUUCCAUCUUUCCUUCUCUCUCUCGUACUUGACACUUUUGAACAUUGCUGGUCAGUUAUUUUGUAGAAGGUUCUUCAAUUUAAGUUUGAUGUUUUCUCAAGGCUAGAUAGAGGUUUUGCAUUUUUGGCAAAAAUAAAAGUAAAAGUGAUGUUGUGUUCUUCUCAUUUGUAUCAGGGAACAUGAUAUCGAUAUUUCUUAUUACUGGUGAUCUUAGCCCUGAUCACCUCAUUAAGAUGGUGUCUGCUGAGUUU